This is a long non-coding RNA of Aethalodelphis obliquidens (Pacific white-sided dolphin), 2348 nucleotides long. RefSeq lists it as uncharacterized. The record is from RefSeq and is a predicted model, not a curated record. The transcript has 2 exons. NCBI's taxonomy places the organism in Eukaryota, Metazoa, Chordata, Mammalia, Artiodactyla, Delphinidae.
GAGGGGAGGGAGUGGUGGGAAGGUGGUGAUGAUGAGAAACAGAGAAGUAACCUAGAAUUAACUCGGUGUUUGUGUAUGUCUGGGCGGGGGGUGGGGGUGCUGGAGAUUUGUAAUGUUCAGGGGCUGCCCAGCACCCGCAUCUCCCUGCUCCACGUGGGAAUUUCCCGUGUGGGCAUCUUGGUGGGAAGCAGAGCUUCUUCCCAUUAUGGAAGCCAAGCCAGGGGUUGCUUUCCCAGCAGCCUUUGCAGUGAAGGCACACCUGGGUUUGGCCAGCCAGGGACACUGCCUGGGCCUGGAACCCGAGGAAGCAGAAAGGCUGGCAGUGGGGAUAGCAACAUUGGUCUCCAAGGGCUGCGGUGGCAGUGAUGCCAAAGAGGGCACCUGCGGCCCAGGGCCAGCAUCAUCGCAAGCAACAGCGUCCCCGUCCACACUGGCUGGGUUUCUCUGUGUGAUCUGGACCGAUUCCAGCUGCCAACCCUUUCUUUGUUCUUCUUGUUUUCCAAGCCUGCUUCCCCAGGCGGCCGAACAUUUCUGUGACGAAUUAAUAUCCUUUCGAAAAAUUCCAUUCUGCUAAAAUCGGCCGGGCCAUUUCUGUUGUCGGCAGUUAAAAUGCUUCUCUAGUACAACAGGUUUACAAGCUUUCUGGACGCCUUUCUGAAAAGAUUGAUUUGGGGACAGAGGAACCACUGAGGACACAUAAAUAAAGCAGCCCAAGAUCCGGCGUGAUUUAUUGGAAAGGGAAGCGGAGUGGGGGUCGGGGGGACGUGGAUUGAAGUUCUGAUUCUGGCCUUUGGAACUGUGUGACCCAAGCCAUUUGAUGUUGAGGGAGCUCAGUUCCCUUAUCAUAAAAUCGGAAGAAUAACGGCUUCUUCAAAAGGCUGCCUUGAGGAUGAAAUGACAACAGGUACUGUCCCGACACAUGAAAAGUGCUCAUGAAUGUCUGCUGAAUUCAAUAACACAUCCAGAUAAAAACAGCUCAUGUCAGCUCUGAGAGAGACAAAAAUUCAAAAGAGAUCAGGGGCAGGGAGGUAAGUGCAUCGCAGCAAGGGGUGGGCGUGGUGGUGUGUGGUUCUGGCAGUGGUCAAGGUACCAAGACUUGAAAUCGAAAUGGGUUCUAAGUCUGGCUUUGCCACUGAUGCGAUGUGCAAAAGCCAUCUGUGAAAUGGGGCUGAUACCUGGCCCCGCCAGCUUGACGGGACUGCUGAGAAUACGAAAUGAAUAGUUUUGAGGAACGUCUGCCGGAAGGAAUAAGCCUAUUGCAAGAAUGAAGUUACUGCUGAGAUGCAGUAGCAAAAAAGUCCCCCGAAAGAACAAAUCUGCUGCAGCGUGCUCUGCCUGGAAUCCCCGGGCUGGAUGCUAGAUGCACCGGCCGGGGUGCUGAGUCACUUGACACGGGGCACACCCCGGCAGGGACUUCCGUUGGCAUCGCUGGCUAUGUGGGGUGGCCUGGGAGGCGAGGCCGGGCAGGCGGAAGGGCAAAGGCAGCAUGAGACAUUUGGCCGAGCACCUUAUCAGCUGUUCCUGUAAAUAACUGAAGCUCAGCUAGUGCCCGAGGCUGCAGACUGGAAUCCCUUUUCUGAGAACCACCCCUCACCCUUGCUGCAGCCGACAUCUGCACGGAUCUGUGCUACCGUCAUCACCAGGACGAGGGCCCUGUCCACAGAACUCAGAACCUCAGAAAUGGGCAAGACUCGGGGAGGGCGGGGUUGGCAGGGGGACGUUACAAAGCCCCUAACUGAACACAGAGAUCCGUCAUCCUCCCCGAGCAGCAGCGCAGAAGCCAGCUACAUCCUCCCUCCACCAACCUUUUCUCUUAAAGAGACAGUGUUCAGUUUUUCCUCUCUGGACCAGAUGACAAUCCCCUGCACUGAGCAGAUGAAGAUUCAGCAAAUUUAGCCAACCGUGGCUGAAGGGCCCAGGUGCUGGCUAGGUUUCUGUGCUUUAGAACCACAGUUCCCAGCCUGAACGUCUCGGCACCCAAGGCAUCCAGGGACCCCAUACCGAACUCGCAGGGGCACUGCAGUGUAUUUUUCAUUUCUGAGGGAAACAUAGUGGUACUCGACGUCUAUCGGAUGCUGCGGGAGAUACUCGCUCUGAAAAGUUCACAGUUUCAAUACUGAUUUGCACUACACUCCUUUCGAUAACGUGCCCUCUCUGUGAAGCUCGGUUUUCGGCAGUUGCUGUGAUGAAAAGCAAGUAAACUAAUCGAGGCAGGACGGGAAAUGAGGGCGGUGUGUCCUCUCUGAUUCUGUGGUUUGAGAAGUUGUGCGGUGCCCAAUGGGCACACAUAUCCCAGUGUAUCUCAUUCUGAUCAUUUAAGAAUGCAAUACAAAUAUUUUUAUUCCUUC